Molecule: ribosomal RNA, 250 nt
Filed under: uncultured bacterium
Lineage: Bacteria
Description: partial 16S ribosomal RNA
Rfam family: Bacterial small subunit ribosomal RNA
Source: RNAcentral
GCAAGUCGAACGGUAACAGCAGAGCUUGCUCUGGCUGACGAGUGGCGGACGGGUGAGUAACGCGUAGGAAUCUGCCCAAGAGUGGGGGACAACCUGGUGAAAACCAGGCUAAUACCGCAUACGGUCUACGGACUAAAGAUGGCCUCUCCUUGGAAGCUAUCGCUUUUGGAUGAGCCUGCGUAAGAUUAGCUUGUUGGUAGGGUAACGGCCUACCAAGGCGACGAUGGUUAGCGGGUCUGAGAGGAUGAUC